AAACCAGCACCUCAAGUGGUCAGGAUGAUUAUUGGGCCUAAAGCAUCCGUAGCCGGCUCUGUAAGUUUUCGGUUAAAUCUGUACGCUCAACGUACAGGCUGCCGGAAAUACUGCAGGGCUAGGGAGUGGGAGAGGUAGACGGUACUCGGGAGGAAGGGGUAAAAUCCUUUGAUCUCUCGAUGACCACCUGUGGCGAAGGCGGUCUACCAGAACACGUCCGACGGUGAGGGAUGAAAGCUGGGGGAGCAAACCGGAUUAGAAACCCCGGUAGUCC
This 274-nucleotide ribosomal RNA is filed under the name uncultured bacterium. RNAcentral describes it as "partial 16S ribosomal RNA". It matches the Rfam family "Archaeal small subunit ribosomal RNA", at positions 473 to 747 of the family's 1478-position model. The record is from RNAcentral.